ACCUAUAUCAUAAGAAAAUUAUCUCAGAUUAUGCAUCACAGGUCAAACCUGUAAACCAAGAGUGUUUCUGUUGAAGAGCCUGGGGAUCAAGACACCAGGCAGGUGAUGGAGACACUGUCUCAGGAGCGCCCAGUUGAUCACAGAGGAGCCUGCUGGACACACAUGUGGGACAUCAGCAGUCAGUUUAUCAGAGUCACCAGGGAGUUGUGCUGGUGCCUGAGGGGACCAUGAUGGAGUCAAGGCACCUGCUCAGUGUCAUGGACAGGGAUGGUCCAGAAGUGAUCUAGGUGGUCUUUAUGCUAAUCAAAUAUGGGCUCAGAGUGAGGAGCACAAGCUGUGGGAGAUUGCUCUUCAGUGAAAAGACCUCUAACCACAAAUAGUUCAGAAAUGGAGUAGGACAUGGAUUUCCUGUGAAGGAUUAGGGCUUGGACAGUCAGCAUCCCACUCCUCUAUGGCAGGUGUGUCAUCUAUCUUCUCCUUCUUAUCCUCAGUCAGGCUUGGAGCUAUGAAGUAAUCUGUCUGAUAUAUAUGCAAAUAGCCUGAGAUCUACUGAGCUAAAUAUGGAUACAUCUGGGCCCAGAGAGCAUCACGCAACACCCAUAUCUCUCCUCUAGAGGACCCCAGAGAGGAAAGUUUUCACCAUGGACUGGAGCUGGAAGAUCUUCGGCUUGGUUGCAGUAGCUGCAGGGCUGAGGAGGGAAUUUUUUCGAGUUGAGAGGACUUUUAUUCUCUACUGUCUCCUCUCCACAGGUGCCCACUCCCAGGUGCAGCUGGUGCAGUCUGGGGCUGAGGUGAGGAAGCCUGGGGCCUCAGUGAAGGUCUCCUGCAAAGCUUCUGGAUACACCUUUACCAGCCAUGGUAUCAGCUGGCUGCAACAGGCCCCUGGACAAGGGCUUGAGUUGAUAGGAUGGAUCCACCCUAACAGUGGUGACACAGGCUAUGCACAGAAGUCCCAGGGCAGAGUCACCAUGACCAGGGACACAACCACAAGCAUAGCCUACAUGGAGCUGAGCAGCCUGAGAUCUGAGGACACGGCCAGUUUUAGGAUCACAGCAGAUCUGAGGAGAAGCAGCAAAGUUCCCGUGUACUCCUGCCCCACACAUGCUCAGACUUCCCUGCUGUCAACACCUGCACCAGAGUCAUAAAGCAGUUACAGCGGAUGAACCUGCACAGACAAGUUGGUCAUUUUCUUUUCUGGUGGUCCCUGGUGUAUCAAGCCCAUCUAUCUUGAAGCAUCCCAGGUUCUUCAAGUGGAUUACUGAAAAUUAUGCCAAACAGAUGGAAAGUGGGUGGGCCAUUUCCCUUUGCACUCUUUCCUCAGGGGUCCAGUGACAAGUUCUCCUCAGUAGAAUGUGGUUGAUGUAGUGAAAUCUUCAAUUUUCCCAUCUUCUGUGUUCUCAUGUUUCUCUCCUCAUCUGAGAUUAAGAAACUCAUCUGCAUGUUGACCUGGGGAGCCUCUUUCUGCUAGUUUUCU
Callithrix jacchus (white-tufted-ear marmoset) is the source of this 1474-nucleotide non-coding RNA. Lineage: Eukaryota; Metazoa; Chordata; Mammalia; Primates; Cebidae. The record is from the annotation of a RefSeq genome assembly.